GACCUGGGUCGCGCACUCACGGCCACUCGGCGCCCACCGUGAACCCUCCGAUCGCAACAUCCUCAUCGCUCGCUGUCACGCCCGGUAACAGCCAAUUUGGUAGGUUCGGGCACGUCAACAGACGCUGAACGGACAACACCUCCCAUGUCCGCCCAAGGCUUCACCAAUACAUGUAUAGCAUAGCAAUUCAAAUAAGGAGAAUACAAGUAUACACGGCUUGCACGAGGGCAAGCAACAACCAACACAAGUGAAAAUAAUCUAACUAUUACAUUCAUACAUUGUAACUUGAUCUUAUGAAUCAAAUACAAAGCUUAUACAAUUCUUUACAUUCAUUCAUCCAAUAUACAUAUCCAUCUCCCAAAAGAAUUUAUUAUAUUUUUUAUUCAUCAAUAUAAUA
RNAcentral lists this long non-coding RNA (397 nucleotides) under Ananas comosus (pineapple). Its description in RNAcentral is "long non-coding RNA (ACOM_LNC000581)". The record is from RNAcentral. Lineage: Eukaryota; Viridiplantae; Streptophyta; Magnoliopsida; Poales; Bromeliaceae.